RNAcentral lists this transfer RNA (90 nucleotides) under Lysobacter sp. RNAcentral's name for it is "tRNA-Ser". It matches the Rfam family "tRNA". Rfam says of the family: Transfer RNA (tRNA) molecules are approximately 80 nucleotides in length. Their secondary structure includes four short double-helical elements and three loops (D, anti-codon, and T loops). Further hydrogen bonds mediate the characteristic L-shaped molecular structure. tRNAs have two regions of fundamental functional importance: the anti-codon, which is responsible for specific mRNA codon recognition, and the 3' end, to which the tRNAs corresponding amino acid is attached (by aminoacyl-tRNA synthetases). tRNAs cope with the degeneracy of the genetic code in two manners: having more than one tRNA (with a specific anti-codon) for a particular amino acid; and 'wobble' base-pairing, i.e. permitting non-standard base-pairing at the 3rd anti-codon position. Lineage: Bacteria; Pseudomonadati; Pseudomonadota; Gammaproteobacteria; Lysobacterales; Lysobacteraceae. The record is from RNAcentral. RNAcentral also lists the same sequence under 3 other names.
GGAGAGGUGGCCGAGCGGUUUAAGGCAGCGGUCUUGAAAACCGCCGUGGCAGCGAUGUCACCGUGGGUUCGAAUCCCACCCUCUCCGCCA